This 270-nucleotide ribosomal RNA is filed under the name uncultured bacterium. Its description in RNAcentral is "partial 16S ribosomal RNA". It matches the Rfam family "Bacterial small subunit ribosomal RNA", at positions 29 to 307 of the family's 1533-position model. The record is from RNAcentral.
AACGAACGCUGGCGGCAUGCCUAACACAUGCAAGUCGAACGCUUUUGCGGUUUCGGCCGCAAGGGAGUGGCGCACGGGUGAGUAGCGCGUGGGAACCUGCCCUGUUGUGGGGGAUAACCGAGGGAAACUUCGGCUAAUACCGCAUACGCCCCGGUGACAAGCCGGGGGAAAGAUUUAUCGCCGCAGGAGGGGCCCGCGUCGGAUUAGCUAGUUGGUGGGGUAACGGCCUACCAAGGCACCGAUCCGUAGCUGGUCUGAGAGGAUGAUCAG